Molecule: unclassified non-coding RNA, 575 nt
Filed under: Hevea brasiliensis (rubber tree)
Lineage: Eukaryota; Viridiplantae; Streptophyta; Magnoliopsida; Malpighiales; Euphorbiaceae
Source: RNAcentral
AUUGAUUAUAGAUUAAUAGAAAUGAGAAAAGAAAUGUAUCUCAGCUAGCGUGUUAUCACAAGAUAUGCAACAGUGAUUUUCCUUUAGCAAAUUGUGCUGUGAACUCCCAUUUCAGGAGUCAUCGCUGAAAGUUUGUUUGAACAAACUCCUUCCUUGCAUGAUGAAUUUUUUGGGCAGUGUUAUCUUGGGUGAUAGCCUGACCUCUGUGGUUAUGAAUCUAAAGGUCCUGGAUCGUCCUACCAAUGGAGCAAUUAUUGCUAAGAAAUGUUUUGGGUUUGAUUUCAUCCUGAAUAGGAUAGGGGAUGAUAUAGAAAUUUUUAUGUCCACUCAGGCAGUUAGGCUACUAUCUCACUUGACCCCUUUUUUUUUGGUGAAAUAAUCUCACUUUACACCUUUGUUUCCUUAUUUCUUGAAUCCACUUCCUUCUCUUUUUUCAGAUUGUCUGCAUUAGUUUAUCAGAAGUAGCAUCUACACUGUAUGUGGGAAUUAUUCUGUCAUAUUGGUGCAGCAUUACCCGUGCCCAAAGAAAUGACAUACCGAGAAAAUUUAUAUACUUUAUAGCAAAAAAAAAAAAA